Molecule: non-coding RNA, 102 nt
Organism: Acanthosepion pharaonis
Lineage: Eukaryota; Metazoa; Mollusca; Cephalopoda; Sepiida; Sepiidae
Source: the annotation of a GenBank genome assembly
CAUGCUGAAACACUGGUUCUGGUAUGAUCACUGAAAUUAAGCAAUGUCAAGACUGGUCAGUACUUAGAUGGGUGACCACUUGGGAAUACCUGAUGCUGUAAG